This is an RNA transcript of Balaenoptera ricei (Rice's whale), 6279 nucleotides long. It is a transcript of the gene named pre-mRNA processing factor 4B, with no coding region annotated. Lineage: Eukaryota; Metazoa; Chordata; Mammalia; Artiodactyla; Balaenopteridae. The record is from RefSeq and is a predicted model, not a curated record. The transcript has 18 exons.
AAUUUUAUAUCCGGAUUCUCCGAGCAAUUCUGAGCUCCACGGUUCCCGACGCUGUCGGCACAUGCGCGACGGCCCUGCUCCUUCUUCCUCCUCCUCCAGUGGCUUCCACCGUCCGGGCGGCCACCGCCACCGCCGCCCAGGAGUCAGGAAGUUCAAGAUGGCCGCCGCGGAGGCUCAGUCGCUGCGGGAACAGCCAGAGAUGGAAGAUGCUGAUAAUUCUGAAAAGAGUGUAAAUGAAGAAAAUGGAGAGGUAUCAGAAGACCAAUCUCAAAAUAAGCACAGUCGUCACAAAAAAAAGAAGCAUAAACACAGAAGUAAACAUAAGAAACAUAAACAUUCUUCAGAAGAAGACAAGGAUAAAAAACAUAAACAUAAGCAUAAACAUAAGAAACACAAAAGAAAAGAGGUUAUUGAUGCUUCUGACAAAGAAGGUAUGUCUCCAGCAAAAAGAACUAAACUUGAUGAUUUAGCUUUGCUGGAAGACUUGGAGAAACAGAGGGCCUUGAUUAAAGCUGAACUUGAUAAUGAGUUAAUGGAAGGAAAGGUCCAGUCUGGGAUGGGGCUCAUAUUACAAGGUUAUGAGUCUGGCUCUGAAGAAGAGGGGGAGAUUCAUGAAAAGGCACGAAAUGGAAAUAGGUCUAGUACUAGAUCUUCAAGUACGAAGGGGAAACUUGAACUUAUGGACAAUAAAAAUAGUACAAAAAAACGAAGUAAAAGCAGAUCCAAAGAACGGACUAGACAUAGGUCUGAUAAAAAGAAAAGUAAGGGAGGUGUUGAAAUAGUUAAAGAGAAGGCAACGAGGAGCAAGUCAAAGGAGAGGAAAAAGUCCAAAAGUCCCUCCAAAAGAAGUAAGUCUCAAGAUCAAGCAAGAAAGUCAAAGUCUCCUACCCUUAGAAGGCGGUCUCAAGAGAAAAUUGGGAAGGCCAGAUCUCCUGCUGAUGACAAGGUUAAAAUUGAAGAUAAAAGUAAGUCAAAAGACAGGAAAAAAUCCCCAAUCAUAAAUGAAAGUAGAAGUCGCGAUCGAGGCAAAAAAUCUAGAUCCCCAAUUGACUUGAGAGGUAAAUCCAAAGACAGGAGGUCACGGUCCAAAGAGAGGAAAUCGAAACGGUCUGAAACUGAUAAAGAGAAGAAGCCAAUUAAAUCUCCCUCUAAAGAUGCUUCCUCUGGGAAAGAAAAUAGGUCACCCAGUAGAAGACCUGGUCGUAGUCCCAAAAGAAGAAGUUUGUCUCCGAAACAACGUGAUAAGUCAAGAAGAAGUCGAUCUCCACUCUUAAAUGAUAGAAGGUCUAAGCAAAGCAAGUCACCUUCUCGAACUCUGUCUCCUGGUAGGAGAGCCAAGAGCCGAUCCUUGGAAAGAAAACGCAGGGAGCCUGAACGGAGACGCCUUUCUUCGCCAAGAACACGACCUCGAGAUGACAUCCUCAGUAGGCGGGAAAGGUCAAAAGAUGCCAGCCCAAUCAGUAGGUGGUCUCCAGCCCGAAGAAGAGCCAGUAGAUCUCCUGUUAGGAGGAGGUCCCGCUCCCCCCUCAGACGGAGCCGAUCUCCCAGAAGAAGAAGCCGGUCUCCUCGGAGAAGGGACAGAGGUCGAAGGAGCAGAUCACGCCUGAGAAGGCGGUCUCGGUCACGGGGUGGUCGUAGACGUAGGAGCAGAAGCAAAGUAAAGGAAGAUAAAUUUAAAGGAAGUCUUUCUGAAGGAAUGAAAGUUGAGCAGGAAUCUUCAUCUGAUGAUAACCUUGAAGACUUUGAUGUUGAGGAGGAAGAUGAAGAAGCCUUGAUAGAACAGAGAAGAAUACAAAGGCAGGCCAUUGUUCAGAAGUACAAAUACCUUGCUGAGGACAGCAACAUGUCCGUGCCGUCUGAGCCCAGCAGCCCCCAGAGCAGCACUCGCACCCGCUCUCCCUCUCCUGAGGACAUUCUGGAAAGGGUAGCUGCCGACGUCAAGGAGUAUGAACGGGAGAAUGUUGAUACGUUUGAGGCCUCAGUCAAAGCCAAGCAUAAUCUCAUGACAGUCGAACAGAAUAAUGGUUCAUCUCAGAAGAAGCUUUUGGCACCCGAUAUGUUUACAGAAUCUGAUGAUAUGUUUGCUGCGUAUUUUGACAGUGCGCGUCUGCGGGCUGCUGGCAUUGGGAAAGAUUUCAAAGAGAAUCCCAACCUCAGGGAUAACUGGACUGAUGCAGAAGGCUAUUAUCGUGUGAACAUAGGUGAAGUCCUGGAUAAGCGUUAUAACGUGUAUGGCUACACGGGUCAAGGCGUGUUCAGUAACGUGGUCCGAGCCAGGGACAAUGCGAGGGCCAACCAGGAGGUGGCCGUGAAGAUCAUUAGGAACAACGAGCUCAUGCAAAAAACUGGUUUAAAAGAAUUAGAAUUCUUGAAAAAACUGAACGAUGCUGAUCCUGAUGACAAAUUUCAUUGUUUGCGACUCUUCAGACACUUUUAUCACAAACAGCAUCUCUGCCUCGUGUUUGAGCCUCUGAGUAUGAAUUUACGAGAGGUGUUAAAAAAAUAUGGUAAGGAUGUUGGCCUUCAUAUUAAGGCUGUACGAUCCUAUAGUCAGCAGUUGUUCUUGGCACUAAAACUCCUUAAAAGAUGCAAUAUCCUCCAUGCAGAUAUCAAGCCAGACAAUAUCUUGGUUAAUGAAUCAAAAACUAUUUUAAAGCUCUGCGACUUCGGGUCGGCUUCACAUGUUGCGGAUAAUGACAUAACGCCUUACCUUGUCAGUAGAUUUUAUCGCGCUCCUGAAAUCAUUAUAGGUAAAAGCUAUGACUAUGGUAUAGAUAUGUGGUCCGUAGGCUGCACCUUGUAUGAACUCUAUACUGGAAAGAUUUUAUUUCCUGGCAAAACCAAUAACCAUAUGUUGAAGCUCGCCAUGGAUCUCAAAGGAAAGAUGCCAAAUAAGAUGAUUCGGAAAGGCGUAUUUAAAGACCAACAUUUUGAUCAAAACCUCAACUUCAUGUACAUAGAAGUUGAUAAAGUAACAGAGAGGGAGAAAGUUACUGUCAUGAGCACCAUUAAUCCAACUAAGGACCUGUUGGCUGACUUGAUUGGGUGCCAGCGACUUCCUGAAGACCAGCGUAAAAAAGUGCACCAGCUGAAGGACUUGUUGGACCAGAUCCUAAUGUUGGACCCAGCUAAACGGAUUAGCAUCAACCAGGCCCUGCAGCACGCCUUCAUCCAGGAGAAGAUUUAAACGAGAUGAAGACGCUCCAAGGGUUUGAGUAAUUAAAUACAAAGACUGAAGAAAUUUCACAGCAGUUUAUUAAUGUAUAUAAACUUAUAAAUAUUUCUCCAGCAAAUUUGAGGAAGCAUGAUAUAUUUGAAUUAACACCAAGGGUGAUAUUUCUUUUAGAAAUGCUAGUUCAUCUGUUUUGUGUCUUAUGUGGAAUUUCACUGUAGAAAUGUUUCAGUUGCCAAGACUGCACAGCGUUACAGUGCUAAUGUAAACGGUUGCAGUUCUCGUAGAAGACAGAAGCACCUGUUAGCAAAUGAGUAGUAAUACUGGGUGGUUGAUUUAUUUUUAGCAAACUUGGCUUCAUUUUGGUCUUCAGAUAAAAUGGCCAGCAUAAAUGCUGUUUAUAUUCACGUUUUCCUAGGUGUGUGUGUGCAGGCCACAGCAGCAUGCCCUGGGUGUAGUCAGUGCCGAAAGGGGUCUGUUCCUUCUUGAGCCUGCCUGCAGGGAUGGUCUCCUCUUUUAAAGCAGGUUGUGUACAACAUUCAGUACACUGAAGGCAUAAACCUUCCACUCUUGAACAAAGCAGCUGCUUUUUAAAAGCGAGAAAAAGGAAAACGGGGCACAGGCCACUCACCGCCUUCUCCAAGGGGUCUGAUUUGCUGAGACACCAGCUUCACCUUCUUAACAAGGCACCUAAUUACAACAAGCAUGCACAUUUUGGUGCAUUCAAGAAUGGAAAAUCAGAGUAGCAGCAUUCUUCUGGUGGGUUUUGCUCCAUUUAAAGGCAUGAAAUGAACUACAGCCAGGAAGGUGAUAGAUGAUACGAUAGGCCAGCUUUGACUCUGUACCCCCGUCUCCUCGUGGUUUAGACGUAAACUGACGUAAAUUUGACCAGGUGGUGCUCAUCCUCAGGUGGUGACGCCCUGUAAACAAGGCGUCACAGGUGCAGCCUUCCUACCUGAAUGAAACGGGUAGUGAUUUUCCCACCACUGUUUACUUUGGUGAUAAUAUGCUGCAUAGUCAAGUCUUUCCUAGUUUUUUUCACUCAAAAUAUUGAUAGUUAACGUUUGUAUGUUUCUGGUGAUUUUCAUGGCUUCAUUUUAUAUACUUAUUUAAGUAAGUUAACUUCCACUAGAGACAGUUCAUCUUAUGCCUUCAAAACUGUUACGUGUUCUUUAAAAAACAAAGUUGCUUGUUACUUGUUCUUUGUGUUUUAGGUGCAGCUCAGUGGAAGAUGAUGACAGCGGAAGACAUGAGCUAAGGUUUCUGUCCUAUAAAAGAUUAAAAAAAAAAAGAAUCCUCCAUUUAAUUUUUGUCUGGUUUUUUAGUUUUCAGCAUUAUGAUUUGGGGUGCGUUACUGUGGUGCUCCUGUGUUCAUUGUAAAGUUUUCGCUUUAUCAUGCUUCCUGCCUCUCCCCCACUUCCCUCCCCUAGGAUGAGAAUAGGGGUCAGAUCUAGCGAUGUUGGCCACGUGGAUGGUGAGAUUCCGCAUCACACGUGGUUGUCAAAAUUGGUCCCUAAGGAUUAUUAGAAAAACAGUAGCCACCAAAAGAGCAUCCAUCUGACGGUGUAGUCUUCCACAUUAGGUGUCACGUCUCCUUGGCUGAUGCACAAGGGUAGAAAGGAACCCUACGAGCACUGCUCAGCUCCUGGGAUGCCCUCUUCUCCGGCUCACCCUCAGUGUCUGCGUUCAGCCAGUGCCCCGGUCACGGGCUUGAAAUAGACCAGAUAUCCAGAGCACUGCCAGCGUUCCUUCUUAAGGGAAAUGCGAGGGCACGUUCUGUCGAUCUUUGAAAUUCCCAAACUCAGCAGUCCUUGAUUUAUCUACUUGAAAGGAACCCUGUAAGCAGUGUUUAUCCACACACACGUAAUUGUAUUGGAGUCUGUAAUGUUCUAAGGCAGAGAGAUGUGGAGCUCUGCAAGCCCUCUGCUAGGUGGGCCCAGGGCACGAACAGUCCUCCGCAGACGCGCAGUCAGUUGCUGUGUAGUUUCUCUCACGAAGGUAUUGCUGUAUUUCACUUUAUGGCAAAAAUGGUGCCAAGUGAUUGUGAGACUUCAGGCUCCAUAAGUCCUAGGACGUAACCCACAAAGAUGGCGUAGUUCUCUCUGUGGUUGGGGGAGUAGUUGAGCUUACGCAUUUUAGACGCCGUUCUCUGGGUAGACCUGUUCUCAAAGGUUAUCAGAAACUAGGCUGGAACGUUGGGGUUUUGAAGGGGGUGUCUUGUCAUAAACCUCAAGACCCUCCCAGCAUCUGCGUUCACCCUCACUUUCCAGUCCUUACUAACAGCGUCCUGUUUCUGUCUGCGUUCCCCAGUGCCUGCUUCAUUCCACUCUACUUUUUCUCAAAAUAAUGUUGUGUUUAAAAAAAAAUUUUUUUUGCCAUUAUAAUUACCCCUUUCUUUUCCUGACUAAAACAAAUACUCAGGACAUUUUUACAGUCAUAGUGUUGUGGGUACGUGGUGGAGGCAAUGAGGCGCACAGUUCCCAGGUUCGCCCCUUUCUGCAUUCUUCCCCCUCCCCUCACCUGGGCGUCUCCAGCUGGCCGGGAAGAGGGAGAAUCUCUGGACCGGGAAUCACGUGUCUUCAGAUUCAGGCCGAGCAGUUGAGGGAAUCCCCUUUGAAAUGUCGAGAUAGGAAAGAAGCCAGAUGUCAAAUGCGCAGUUACUUUAUGUUAGUUAUCAUGACACUGUCAGAAGUUGGGCUUCAUAAAGUGUUUUCUUUUUCAUAGAAUCCUAGUUUAGGCAUAUAUUUAACGUGAAUUUUAUCAUUCUUUUCUGAGACGAAACGUCCUUAUAGAAAUGCUCACUACAAAUUCAUGUGUUUUACUUGUCAAUUAAUGUACACUAAAUUGACUUUUAAAAUGCUUUCCAGUUAUUUUGAUAGAUAUCAUCAUGGUAUCUUUAAUUUUUCUUCUCCUAUGUGUAGGGUAAGGGACUGUUCUUCUGAAGAAUCUUUCCAUUUAGUGAUCAAGAUAUGGAAGCUCAUCUCUGAAAAUACUUGACAUGUAUCCUAAUUAUUCCCAGUGUCAUUUGAAUUGUAACUUGCAUUUCAGCAGCAAUGUUCCCAGUUGACUUACUAGGAAAAUGUAAUAAAAUGUGCCUCUUGUUACCA